Eriocheir sinensis (Chinese mitten crab) is the source of this 5825-nucleotide long non-coding RNA. RefSeq lists it as uncharacterized. The transcript has 2 exons. Lineage: Eukaryota; Metazoa; Arthropoda; Malacostraca; Decapoda; Varunidae. The record is from RefSeq and is a predicted model, not a curated record.
ACUAGUACCUCAAAUAUCAAUAAUAAUAAUAAUAACAACAAUAAUAAUAAUAAUAAUAAUAAUAAUAAUAGUAGUAAUCAUAAUAUUGAUAAUAAUAGCAAUAAAAAUAUUAGUACAAAUAAACUACUACUAAUAAGAAUGAGUAAUAAUGCAUAUCUUGUUGAUAACACUUACAAUGAAAAUACUUGCAAUAAUGUUAAUAAUAGUUUUAAUAAUCAUAUUAGUGAAGAUGAUAAUAUUAAUAAUAAUAAUAAUAUUAAUAAUAAUAAUAAUAAUGAUAAUAAUAAUAACAAUGAUACUAAAUAAUUUAGGAUGACUGUUUGGUAGUUCUUAGUUGCACUACUAUUAGUUAUUACUGCUUUAAUAUUAAUGGCCUGUAGCUGUGUAGCGGUCGUGGAUGUUUUAACAAUGGUUAUUGUUUUAAGUUGUACUAGCAGUUAUAGUUUUUAAUUAUAAAUGUAGAAAGAAGUAGUAGUAGUAGUAGUAGUAGUGGGAGUGGAGGUUAUAGUAGACAUAGUAAUAGUAGUAGUGGUAGUAGUAGUAGUAGUAGGAGUAGGAGUGGAGGUUAUAGUAGACAUAGUAAUAGUAGUAGUGGUAGUGGAACAAGGUUUUUUUUGUUGCUACUGGCAGUGUUGGUGUAAGUGGUGGUCAGAGAGUACUUAUUGAUAUUGUAGUUGUUGUGGUAGUUGUGGCUGAAGUAGUAGCAGCAGUCGAAGUGGUAGCAGCCGUAGGUUGAUUGUAGUCUAGUCGGAGGAGGCGAUUUCCAGGUACGUGUCCAGCAUCACGGGGUACUUCUCCAGGAAAGCCACCAAGGUUUGUUCGUCGACAAUUGUGUGCCGUACUGUGGAAUUUUUGAGUUUUAUGGUGAUCUUUCCAUCCUUUGUAUGGCACUGUUGGAAUUUUUGUCUGUGGACUUUCCUCACUGCUAGCACCUUUUUCAGGAUGUUGUAUCUUUUUGGGGUCAAGCUCUCGUUGAUGUAGAGAUUCGGUUUUAGGUUUAUGCAGGCCCCCACAAGGUCAUAUUUCAGGGACCUGUUCACCAAUUUGACGAUGAUGGGCCUGUUUCUGUUUUGUUGAACGGGCCCGAGCCUGUGUGCCACACUUAUGUCUUCUUCUUUGACAUUUAUUUUCAGCUGGUCUUUGAAGGUGGACACCACGAAACUUUUGGCGUUUUCAGGUGCCGUUUCUGGGGGAAGUGCGGGACCACUAACAACCACUGUGUCGUUUCGCUCAAAUUGUUCGAUGCUGUCAAUAUGUGUUUCAAAGCUGUGUAGUUUGUGUUUCAGGUCAUUCACUUCAGUUUCCAGGUUGGAGAUUACUGUGUCUUUCUUUAUCAUUUCUUCUUUUAUUAUUUCUAAUUCUGUUUUGAAUUGCUUGAGGAAGGUGAUAGCUGAGUGUUGUCAAAGAAUAGUGGAUAGUUGUUUGGAAAAUUGUGUCGAGUAGAUAGGUGGAAAAACUGUGUUUUUGAGGCGUUGAAGGACACCAGGUUCCUCUUGCCCCAAUCGGAAAUAAUAGUAAGGUCUGAGGCUAAGCGUUCUGUUGCCUCCAGCCUUGAAUCGUUAAGUUCCUGUAUGGUGGGUCUUCUAUUAAAAGAAGUUGAGUAAUGCAGAGUGGAGUCAUCGGCGUAAGAAUGGAUAGGACAGUUCGUUAUGGAAAGAGGAUCAUCAAUGAACAACAUAAAGAGAGUGGGAGAUAGGACAGAACCCUGUGGGACACCACUGUUAAUAGGAUUAGGGGAAGAACAGUGACCGUCUACCACAGCAGAAAUAGAACGGUCAGAAAGGAAACUGGAGAUAAAGGUACAGAGAGAAGGAUAAAAACCGUAGGAGGGUAGUUUGGAAAGCAAAUAUUUUUGCCAGACCCUAUCAAAGCUUUUGAUAUGUCCAGCGCAAUAGCAAAGGUUUCACCGAAACGGCUAAGAGAGGAUGACCACGAGUCAGUUAGGAAGGCAAGGAGAUCACCAGUAGAACGCCCCUUGCGGAACCCAUACUGGCGAUCAGAUAGAAGGUCAGAAGUGGAAAGGUGCUUUUGAAUCUUCCGGUUAAGGAUUGAUUCAAAAGCUUUAGAUAGACAAGAAAGUAAAGCUAUAGGACGGUAGUUUGAGGGAUUGGAACGGUCACCCUUCUUAGGCACAGGCUGUAUGAAGGCAUACUUCCAGCAGGAAGGAAAGAUAGAUGUUGACAGGCAGAGGCGAAAGAGUUUGACCAGGUAUAUAUAUAUAUAUAUAUAUAUAUAUAUAUAUAUAUAUAUAUAUAUAUAUAUAUAUAUAUAUAUAUAUAUAUAUAUAUAUAUAUAUAUAUAUAUAUAUAUAUAUAUAUAUAUAUAUAUAUAUAUAUUAUUGUUGGGAGUCCAAAAUACGCGAGUAGGGGAAGAUGUAUUUGGUGUCGUGGAUAAAUGCGGUGUGCCAGCUCACGUCACUCAGAUAAGCGAGGAUUAACACGUCAAGGGAACUGAUAUGUCUAUGGGACCACUGACACUACGUAGUUCGGAUCAUACGGUGUGUGGGUUCCGAAAAUCUCUCUCUCUCUCUCUCUCUCUCUCUCUCUCUCUCUCUCUGUAUAUAUCUAUAUAUAUAUAUAUAUAUAUAUAUAUAUAUAUAUAUAUAUAUAUAUAUAUAUAUAUAUAUAUAUAUAUAUAUAUAUAUAUUUUAUGUAUCGUAAUCAAUCAAUCAAUCAAUCAAUGAGUAGGGAUAUACGCCGGUGGAAGCGUCACCUCGCCCAACCUACAUUGCCAAGUCAGGGGGUCCCUCUGGACAAGUCCCCAUACAGGACCCUUUCUCAUCCAGCGUACUUCCUGGCAGGAUCCAUCAACUUGCUCAAGUCACGAACUGUGUGAGCGUUCCCUUGGCCUCCACUCAGGAUCGUUCUACAUAGAACCGAUGAGCAGGGUCAGCUUCUGGAUAGCGUGCCACAUCCCCGAACAGCCUGAGUUUGCAUUGACGGCUUAUGCGGCUAUUAUAUGUCGAAUCAGUCCCACGUAGUAGUCGCUGGUUUGUCAUAGUCACUCCAGAAGAUAUCACAGAUUCUGCGUAGACUAAACUUGAUACACUUAUUACCAAAGGCAUCAAUUCGCCUCUCUUAGUCCCAAUUUAGUGACCAUGUCUCACAGCCAUAGAGUACGACAAAGAGCACAAGAGACUUGUAGUUCGGGAUCUUAGUCUUUCUACACAGUUAUAGGCAAUACCAUAUACUCAAGCUGAGAGAGUACAUAACACCAUGUGCUAAGGCUUAGCUAACUAAGGUUUAGUGGUUCUUUGCCUUUUCAGAGGCGCCGAACCCUUACGAAAACCUCCGCACACUCAAAUAUUAAAAUAAUAAUAAUAAUAAUAAUAAUAAUAAUAAUAAUAAUAAUAAUAAUAAUAAUAAUAAUAAUAAUAACAAUAAUAAUAAUAACAAUAAUAAUAAUGCUGAAAAUGAUAAUAAUAAUAAUAAUAAUAAUAAUAAUAAUAAUAAUAAUAAUAAUAAUAAUAAUAAUAAUAAUUAUACAAAAAUGUAAGUAAAACUUUAAAAUUCUGGAGUAAAUUUGGAUAAUAAGAAUAAAUUCCAUUUUAUUGAACACAAAAAAUGAAAAAAAAAAUCUUCAAAUUUCAAGAGUGUAUUUGGAUAAAAAUCUGAAUGAAUAACAUUAUAGUUAAUAAAAAUGAAAGAAAGAUUGCUUAUAAAAUUAAAAAAAUAUUUGGAUAAUAAAAUCUGGAUCUUAAUGCGGUUUUUGUUCUUGUUUUUGGAAGACGAUCUGGGAAAUGCGUGCCUUUGUUUUGGCAAGGGCCACCCUCAUAUCACUUUUGCAUGCAAGUCUGCUCCUUUUCUUUGUUUUGAAGUCCAACAGUUUCGAAAAUGCAUGCUCACAGAGAUACAUUGUAGCGAACGGCGUGAGGAUCGCAAGGACACUAGCGAUGACAGGAUACUCUUCCAUUUGGCAGCACCAAAAUGUCGAGUGUUGUCGUGCCGAAAAGCAGUUGCUGAGUGUGGCUCUGCUGAAGUUCGAUGAGAUCGUUGACAUCUGCCUUUGCAACAUCAAAAGUAAAUGGCUGGCUCACCCAUGCUGGAUAGUGAGCUUUUUCAGGGAAAUAUCCAUCGAAUUAUUUUCCCAGCUCAUCUAAGUGCGUGGUAAUCGUUUGCUUCAGUUCCCAAAGUCAGAAUAAUCUUCAUUUCCGCUCACGCACUCGUCCAGUAUCAGAAAGUUUCCUAAGUUGUCCUUCCUUGUUCGCCGCCUCCACAACAGUAAAAAUGUUCAGCUCUACUUCAGCUACGAUGAUAUUCACUCACCCGCACUGCAUCUGGCAAUUGAGAUGAUAGUGUGCGUCGAAGACGUUAGCCAUAUACGCCAAAGCUAGGAUGAACUUUGAUUCUUCGAAAUGAGUUGCAUAGCGAUGCUGGUGCUCUCGCAGAAACAGGGCUAAUUCUACACGCAAGGCAAAAACAAACCUCUAUACCUUCCUUCGUGAUAACCACCAAAUGUUAGAGUGGUAGAGAAGGACUUCGAAUUCAGAGGCAAUUUCGUUGCACAGCUCUUUGAUGAUGCGAUGAUUCAGAACACUGCUUCGCAUGUAAUUCACAGUAUCAAUGACAGUCCUGGAGGCAAAGUUUUUGAUGCCAACGCUUGUUAGUGCAGGACACAGUGGGUGACGACGAUGUGUGGUGCAUCGGCCUUCACCAGCACUCCGAAACCGAAUUUGCGCCCCAGCAUGGCUGAAGCCCCGUCCGAGCAAACUGCAGACACCACGUUCCAUGAAAGACUAUUUCUUUUGAAGAAGUCGUCCACAAGUUUAUUCACGUCAGCUGCCUUCGUCGUUGUUGUGUGAGGCCUGCAGAAUAGAAACUCUUCCUUGAUAUCAUCUAUCUUGAUAUAACACACAAAUACAAUGAGUUGGCUCGAAUUAGAAACGUCGGUGGUCUCAUCGAGUUGAAGGCUGAAUUUUGUCUGACUCGUGACUAAAUCUUCGACUACCUGGGCGAGCAUGUUAUCGCUCAUGUCGAUUCUGCUGCUGAUGACGUCAUUUUAGAGUGGAACGAGAGACAACGUGUUUUCACCAGCUUUUCCAAGCAUGAUGUUGGCCAUUUUCAAUACAGCCGGUUUGAUGAAUGUUUCGCCAACGGUGUGUGGUUUUCCCUGCUUUGCUAUUAAAUACACAACUUCAUAAAAGGCACUGAGGAUCGGUUUGUCAACUGGAAUGAAGUUGCAAGUGGGCAAAAAAGCGGUUAUAUUCAAUUUGAUUUCAUCCAGCGUUGCGUCCUUGUACUGUCCCUUGCCGUGCAGUUUUAUCAAGUGUUCCCGCAGUUUCGCUGGAACAAAGCUGGAAUGGGACAACUUCACAUUGCAUAGCAUGCAUUAAUGAUGCUGAAUUAUAUCAUUCUCCGUGGAACAUGUGAAGUCGUACCACACGUAAUCCUCCGAACAUUUCUUUUUACUUGACAUGCUGAUCCUGGGUAAUGCGGAGACACUGCUGCAUGCGAUUCACCCAGCCUGUCAAAGAUGGAGUGAAUGAGAGAGUGGUCCUGGCCUCCCUCCCUCAUAAUCAAAGCAAACUGUGUUUUGUGUUUCGGAGGGCUUCCGCCGAACCCCUGAGACUGGCUCACUGAACCACUGGGUCCGUCGAACCCAGGUUAAGAACCACAUUGGCUCAGCAGCUAAGCCAAUCCGCCGUAAGACUUCGUGGCGGGACCCGCCGUUGUAAUGAACUACGCUACGAAGGUAUCGGAUUGUUAAUUCUAGGUGUUUUGUGUUAUGAUUAUUUGUGUUAAUUUUUUUUCUCUCUCUCUCUCUCUCUCUCUCUCUCUCUCUCUCUCUCUCUCUCUCUCUCUCUCUCUCUCUCUCUCUCUCUCUCU